AUUGACAAACCGACUCUCCGUAAUCUUCUACGGUAGAGGCGCUGAUGUGCUUUCUUAAUAAUUGCACCAGUGUUCUCGGACCAGGAAAGAUCUUCAUAGAUGUGCACACACAGGAAUUUGAAGCUCUUGACCCUUUCAACCAUCCACCCGUUGAUAUAAACGGGACUGUGGGUCACCAUCCUACUCCUUCCAAAGUCCACAAUUAUUUCCGUGGGUUUGCUGGUGUUGAGGGCCAGGUUAUUGUGCUGGCACCAUAUGGACAGUUGCUCGAUCUCUCUUCUAUACUCUGACUCAUCCCCAUCAGUGAUACGUCCCACAACAGUGGUGUCAUCAGCGAACUUGAUGAUGGAGUUCGGAUUAUGACUGGCUAUGCAGUCAUCAAUAUAGAGUGAGUGCAGCAGGGGGCUGAGCUCGCAGCCUUGAGGUGCUCCCGUGCUGAUAGUUAUCGAGUCUUAACACAUUUCCACCAAUACGAACAGACUGUGGUCUGAGAAUGAGGAAGUUGAGGAUCCUAUUGCAGAGGGAUGCGCAGAAACCCACUUCCGCUAGUUUGGUAACCAGCUUGGAGGGGAUGUAUGUAUUAAAUGCCGAGAUGUACUCAAUGAAUAAGAGCCUGACAUAUUAGUUUUUGUUGUCCAAGUGGUCCAGAGCACAGUGGAGGGCCAGCGAGAUUGCGUCCACCGUUGAUCUGUUGUGGCAGUAAGCGAACUGCAGUGGGUCUAGGUUUUUGAUGCCCUUUUGAAGCAGGUGGGAACCUCAGACCUCGGAAGUGAGAGAUUGCAAAUGUCCGUAAAAACUCCAGCCAGUUGGUCCGCACAGGUUGUUUAUCUACGUAGUUUUGAUUGUUACCCAUACAAAAUCGUGCCAAUGACGAUUUAUUUAUCUAUAUUACUAUAUUACUCCACGGCAAGCCCCCUUGAUGUGGUUGCAAAGUGUUUGCCAAAUUGUCUUGGCUUUUAAAGACUCUUCAGAAAAUGUGUUGGCUGCUUGCAAAGUGUUUGCCAAAUUGUCUUGGCUUUUAAAGACUCUUCAGAAAAUGUGUUGGCUGCUUGCAAAGUGUUUGCCAAAUUGUCUUGGCUUUUAAAGACUCUUCUGAAAAUGUGUUGGCUGCUUGCAAAGUGUUUGACUAAUUGGCUUGGCACUUAAAAUCGUCGCAACAGUAUGCGGAUGGAUAAAGCGGCAAUGUGGUGCUGAGUGGGUACUUUCAGGUUCGUGGCAAGAUGGCGCUGACUGCAGAAGGCACCGAGUGAAGACACCGCUGAAUAAUUCAAGAGAGCUGACUACUCUGUCAAUGAGACAUAAAGAUGCAGUGAGCAGCAACAAGAGGCACAGCAAGAAAGAAUUAUACUCAUCUUUGACAUUUAAAAUGUUGUUAUAUUUUAAGAGAUGUUAAACUUUAAUAAAUCAUUUUUCCACUUUUCAUGCCUGCGUGUUCUUCAUCACAAUGGGAACCUAAUGGGCAGGAAUGGAUACUCUGUGGGAGUAUCUUGCUUCUGCCCAAAGAUAGGAUCUUCCCUUCGGCCUCUGCACAGAUCCUAUAGUGGAGCAAACAUAGAAACAUAGAAAAUAGAUGCAGGAGGAGUCAAUUUGGCCCUUCAAGCUAGCACCGCCAUUCAUUGUGAUCGUGGGUGAUCGUCCCCUAUCAAUAACCCGUGCCUGCCUUCUCCCCAUAUUCCUUGACUUCACUAGCCGCUAGAGCUCUAUCUAACUCUCUCUUAAAUCCAUCCAGUGACUAGGCUUCCACUGCCCUCUGUGGCAGGGAAUUCCAUAAAUUCACACAUUUCUCUGGGUGAAAAAGUUUCUUCUCACCUUAGUCUUAAAUUACCUGCCCUUUAUUCUAAGACUGGCCCCUGGUUCUGGACUCACCCAACAUUGGGAACAUUUCUCCUGCAUCUAGCUUGCCCAGUCCUUUAAUAAUUUAAUAUGUUUCUAUAAGAUUCCCCCUCAUCCUUCUAAACUCCAGUGAAUACAAGCCUAGUCUUUUCAAUCUUUACUCAUAUACAGUCCCACCAACCCAGGGAUCAAUCUCGUAAACCUACGCUGCAGAAGAACCUCUUCACUCUAUACUGAAAUCCUCUUGUUAUGAAGGCCAACAUUCCAUAGCUUUCUUUACUGCCUGCUGUACCUCUAAGCCAACUUUCAGUGGCCGGUGUACAAGGACGCCCAGGUCUCGCUGCACAUCCCCCUUACCUAACCUAAAUCUAUUGAGAUAAUAAUCAGCCCCCUUGUUUUUGCCUUCAAAGUGGAUAACCUCACAUUUAUCUAUAGUAUACUGCACAUGCCAUGCAUCUGCCCACUCACUCAACCUGUCCAGGUCACCCUGCAACCUCCUAACAUCCUCUUCACAGUUCACACUGCCACCCAGCUUUGUGUCAUUUGCAAACUUGCGAGUGUUGCUCCUAAUUCACUCUUCCAAAUCAUUAAUAUAUAUGGUAAACAGUUGCGGCCCCAAUAACAAACCUUACGGCACUCCACUCGACACUGCCUGCCAUUCUGAAAAGGACCCGUUCACUCCUACUCUUUGCUUCCUGUCUACCAAUCAAUUUUCUAUCCAUGUGAUCACCCUACCACCAAUACCAUGUGCUCAAGAUGGACCACUCCUGCAAAAAACAAUCGGCAAUCGGCAAUGUGGGCAAUACGACUUGUCUUUCUUCAGGUUCCCCAUUAAGGAGGAAAGAUGUCGACAUUGGACAUGAUCUACACCGAACUGCGGAGUAUUUGUGAAAUAACUGCCCUCUUAUGUACAUUGUGUGAAAUUGUGAUUUGCUAACUGCACAAAUAUAAUGCGAAUGGCGAUUUAUUUAUUAUUGUAUCUAUGUUGGACAUUUUGCUGUUUGGUGAAGCAGGGGUGGGGCUAUCAUUGUGUUACAUACGUUAAAUUGUACAUCACUUUCACUGGUUAGCUGAUAUGCUGAACUGCAACCCUGUAUAACUCGCGCACAGAAUAAUGUGAAUUGUGUAAAUCUUAUCCCAACGGGUCCCACUUAGUCUAUUGAUUGUGUAUAAGCUGCAAAUUUUGUCCUUUGUUUGAAAUGUGUAGAAUGUGACA
Leucoraja erinaceus (little skate) is the source of this 3049-nucleotide long non-coding RNA. RefSeq lists it as uncharacterized. NCBI's taxonomy places the organism in Eukaryota, Metazoa, Chordata, Chondrichthyes, Rajiformes, Rajidae. The transcript has 3 exons. The record is from RefSeq and is a predicted model, not a curated record.